GUAAAAAUAAACCAAUCAAAGCGCACGACAAACGGAGUUAUUGACUCCCAGAAGAAGGAACCGAUUCUGAACAGCUGUAACGAGUCGUUAUGAAUUCCAGUAAUAAUUCCGUUAGUAAUUCCUUACUUCCCGUACAAACCUAGUAGGCUUAUAUUCAGUACGACCACGAAUAAACGCCAUGUAUUCGUUUGCGUUGUCCUACCUUAUACGAUUACGAAUGAAAUACGACCUAUCGGAAAACAUUAAAAGAUCCCGCUACUUUGGCAACGGAGUCGGUAGUCUGUGGGGAAACUCGACUUUCGCAAUUUUCUCAGCAUACGUGACACGCACGUCUCAAACGAUCACGUCUCCAUCCUUGUUUUUGGUUCACAUCCCGAAAAGAGUCGAUCCGCCGAGAGGUCCCACGCACUGACGACUACGGGGCGAUCCUAAAGCUUCGGAGUCGAUUCCGUACGCUGAAAAUGAUUCGACUCUUUGUCUUUACAUUUAGCGAGACAGCCAAAGCGAGAGAUCUUUACAAUCGCCUUUAUUUUGAAUUUGUCUGCCCGGGAUUGAACUAAAUCAGGGCUUUGGACGCACGGCUGUGACGACAGGACACCGUCAACCGUGCAUGGGUUCAUCCGUCUCGUUCGGUUGACGGGUUAUCUGACAUGUCAGUGGUAAAGAUAUAUUGUAUAAAGUGUGUCCCAUAAAUCCAGCGUCAAAUAGCCAAACAAAUGCGUUUUCGUUUAUUUAUUUAUUUAUUUAUUUAAUUGACUUGCUCAGUACGUUCUCAUUGACUCGGAUUCGUUCUUCCUUACUCAGUAAUAAAUAUAAUAAAAAUAUACAUUGAUCCUAUGACGCUGGACUUACGGGACCGCCCGUUAGUGACCGGUAAGUAAAUAUUUUUAGUAUUUAAUAUUAAAAUACUAAAAAAAAAUAAAAUAUUUUUUAAAAAAUAUUAAAAAUACUCCCGUCAAACGAAUCGAAGAAUCAUCAUUACGUUCGCAACUCCAACGUGAAGCGCCGUUUCAAAACAAAACCGAUUCGAAUUGGCGCGUUUUAUUUACAGCCAUGAACGCUUCCUCGUGAAUUUUUGCCGAGUACCCAUCGCCUCAUUGUUUGGCUCUCGACCUGGCCGGAAACACUGGCUGGAUCUGGUUCCAAGCCUGUGUUGUUGAAGAGAGAGAGAAAAAAAAUGCGGUUAUCAGCAGUAUAAUAAGCUCGGCUUAAAAUAUGACGACAGGCCACGCUGAGCCACACGUCUAAAAUAAAACACCAGGGCUGACAACAGGGUGCAGAGUGCAGAGCCACUAAAGGAACUGGAGUCAGAGGUGUAGAUAGCGGCACGAAACCUUAACCUUUAGAUCAGAGAGAGAGAGAGAGAGAACCUGAGAUAAUAUACACCCAAUCUAUUCAAAUUAACUGUAGUGGCACGCUUCCUCACAUUACUUUCAAAAUCCAUCAAACCUUUAAAAAAAAACACACACUACAGAGUGAAACUCGGAGCUCUUUCAGUAAUUUUGGAGCGUGUCUAUGUAUGACGUGAUCAGAAAAAGUCGGAUUUAUCAUAAAACUUGCCUCGGGUGUCGUCACUGCUCGUUGGACGACCAGACCGAUAAAAUAUAAAACUUUUCUAACUAGGCUAGUUUGGUGUCGCUAGCCAAGGGGAGGCUCAGCUAAGCUAUCACUGUAUGGGUUUAGCUGCUACAGCGCCAUGGAAAGUACAUUAUAUUUCCUUCUGCUCCGCUCAUAUCAUGUUCAUGUAAAUCGGAAAUAAUAUACAGGCAUUUACACACUUUGUUUUCCUGCUCAGAAUGAGAGGAUGUUAGUGUUUCAGUUUCAUUCUGUGUACUGGUUAAAAAUAAAUAAAUAAAUAAAUAAAUAAAUAAAUAAAUAAAUAAAUAGGUAGCCGUAGAUUCAUUUUUCCUCACACUGACUGUGAGCUAGCGUCUGGCGGAAUUGAGAGGCUGUCGGCCAAUAAGACAUGAGUGUCUCCACGUAUUUUCCUGUAAAACCCGUCUGAACGGUCCCGCCUCCGUUCACCGAAGGUGGAAAAUCACAGGCGGUCUUCUUUUAGUGACUAGGGCUAAAGAAAAAAAAAUAAAAUCUUCGGGGCAAACCGUGAUCUAUUCUAAAAAAUAAUAAUAAAUAAAAAAAUGCAUGUUACUUAAUAUUGUUUUCUUUACAAUAAAUUUGUAAAGCGAGUAGUGUUAUUUUAUUGACAUCAGUAACUGUAAUCAAAUGACAUCAGUUUCAAAUGUGAUGUGUUCCGCUACUGCAUUAUCAGACAAAGUCAUCAGAGUACACCAACACGUUACACCCAACUCUGAAAAUGACAGGCUGCGUUUUUUGAGAGAGAGAGAGAGAGAGAGAGAGAGAGAGAGAGAGAGAGAGAGAGAGAGAGAGAGAGAGAGAGAGAGAGAAAGAAUGAGAGAGAGAGCUAGAAAGAAAGAGAGAGAGAAAUAGACAGAGAGCGAGAGAGAGAGAGAGAGAGAGAGAGAGAGAGAGAGAGAGAGAGAGAGAGGGGUAGAAAGAAUGAGAGAGAGAGCUAGAAAGAAAGAGAGAGAAAUAGACAGAGAGCAAGAGAGAGCGAGAGAGAGAGAGAGAGAGAGAGGGGUAGAAAGAAUGAGAGAGAGAAGUAGAAAGAAAGGUAGAAAGAAUGAGAGAGAGACAAAGACAGACGGACAGAGACAAAGGUAGAAAGAGAGACAGAGAGAGAGAGAGAGAGAGAGAGAGAGAGAGGGAAGAAAGGUAGAAAGAAUGAGAGAGAGAUGAGAGAGUCAGAGAGUGAGAACGAGAGAGAGACAAAGAGGGUUAGAAAGAAUGAGAGAGAGAGCUAGAAAGAAAGAGAGAGAAAUAGACAGAGAGAGAGAGGUAGAAAGAAUGAGAGAAAAGUAGAAAGAAGGGUAGAAAGAAUGAGAGAGAGAGAGAGAGAGACAAAGACAGACGGACAGAGACAAAGGUAGAAAGAAAGAGACUGACAGAGAGAGAGAGAGAGCGAGAGAGAGUGAGAGAGAGAGAGAGAGAAGAAAGGUAGAAAGAACGAGAGAGAGACAAAAAAAGAGUGAGACAGAGAAAGGGAGAAAGAAUUAGAGAUAGAAAGAGACAGACAGAGAGCGAGAGAAAUAGAGAGAGAGAGAGAGAGAGAGAGAGAGAGAGAGAGAGAGAGAGGCUUGUGAAGUGACUCUACUGUUUAUCGCAGCUAUAACGCAAGUGUAAACAGGAACCAACUCGUCACUCGGAUGUUCCACGACAUUCAAUCUAAAGAUAAACAAUUCGAAUGUACAACGCGUCGUUCGUGAUUAACUUAAACGCGGUUAUUGUUGGAAAAUGGUGGUGGUAGUAUAAGUGCAAUAACACACUCGAGACCGUCCAGUUGAAUGAAAAUAAAUACACGUCAUGCCGCAUCACACGUCCUCGGCGUGCAUCAUUUCCAUAGAACAGCAAAGUCUGGAGUGUGUUAUUGUUUACUUCUGUGAUCAGCCCCUGCAGGAUUCUGCACUUUCCUCAUCGCAGAAAUGAACGCACAAUCCAGGAAACGCCGCAAUAUUUACAAGAGUUUGUGAUUUUACAGCAUAACCGCAGAUUUUCCGCAGACUUGGGCCAAGGCGCAUAUGAUGUCAUCACAACGCGCCACGUGACAUCAUCACAGCAGCAUGCAUUCAUCCAAAGUCCCCGUCGAUUCCCGUGCGUCGCACGCGAGUACAGCUCAAAAAGGUCUCGUUUACCGACAAACAUCACUGGCUGAGCUGGUUCGAUUUUUUUGUUCGUUUUUCUUUUCUUUCGUUCUUUAUCGAUUUGUUUUGGCUCGGUGUGCUAGCGUCCUCCGUUUAACAAAAUGUUCCCGUGUUACGGUUUUAAAAGAUUAAAAAACACACGGCAACCGAUCCGAUGCUUCCAAGUUUCUAAAAAAAGUUUAUUGUCCUAACGACGUUGUUUUUUAAUAAAUAAAAAGAUUCCACGAAAACUGCGAUAUCUCGUCUCUCAAACCGAAACAAAAUAAACUUUUCACAAUAUCCAUAUUACAUCACCAUGACGACCAGCCCUGCCAUGACACCGUGAAACCACGAGAUUUGUUUGUUGUUUUUUUUUUUUUUUUUACACCGUCAACAAAACUCAAACCUUUGACAUUUAUAGUUGAGCCCAAUAUUCAAAGUGGAUCCUAUUGGUCACAGUCAGAUGGAAUGGCGAGGUACGGCUAGACUCAUCACGGCCUCGUCCCGAUCUCCGACGUGUGUGAGAGACACGCUGCGAUUAAAGGAGAGGAAGGACGGUAGCGGUCUCACGCAAACACUGCGACGAGUGUGUGAGACCAGGAAGUUAUUUCACUCCCAGAAUUCCCGUACUGUUUUUAGCACGACCUCGUCGACUCCUGUCGGAAUUGAAUGACGAAGGACGUGGUAAAAACAGCACUGGGACGCAACGUUUAUCCGUUUGUGUGCGUGUGACAAGAGGGAGCAAGCAGGUCCACGCACAUCAAGAGUCAGAACUGCCAUUAAGCUUAAGCCUACACCCACACACGUGCCGAAUUCCGAACCGCAUCCGCAGCCUUUUCCUAUACACGGUAUUCUCCGAGCGAGAGUGGUUUAGAGAGCGCACAAACACACGUUUCCUUCCUUCCUUCCACUUUAAAAUAAGAAUAAUAAUUUAAAAAAAAAAAAAAAAAAAAACGCUAAUCAUGUUGCAUUUCGGUUGAGUAUUCCACGUGUCAUAAUGACGCAUCCACGCUGAGAGACGAUCGACGACGGGGGUCACGUUUAAGUCGUGCUUCCUCUCGGACCUCGUGGCGUUUUUGAAACUGAAGCUUCGGCAAAGUUUCACGAGGAGACGAUGGAUGACCUUUUUAUCUGACCUCCAGGAUUGACCUUCAGCGGUCAAGUCGCGUGGAUGUGAUGUGACGUAAUACUGGAUCAUUUCCCGCC
This is a long non-coding RNA of Ictalurus punctatus (channel catfish), 4904 nucleotides long. Lineage: Eukaryota; Metazoa; Chordata; Actinopteri; Siluriformes; Ictaluridae. The record is from Ensembl.